GGGCGACUUUUCUGCCAGUGACGACGACCCGGGAUUCGCUCGCGGAUACGCCAGAGCCAAGAGCUUCGCCACAACGUCGUGGGUUUUGGUCAACUCGUUCGAAGAACUCGAGGGCAGUGCCACCUUCCAAGCUCUCCGAGACAUCUCUCCCAAAGCAAUCGCAGUGGGUCCACUUUCCACCAUGGUCCCCGGCUCCAGCAAUGCAAGCUUGUGGACGGAAGACACCGAGAGUUUAUCCUGGCUCGGCAAGCAAAGUCCCGGCUCGGUUCUCUACAUUUCCUUGGGCACCAUCGCGACUCUCAGCUUCGAUCAGUUCAAGGAGUUCUCCGAGGGACUGAGGCUUCUCCAGCGUCCGUUUAUCUGGGCCAUCCGACCCAAGUCGGUCGCCGGUAUGGAGCCCGAGUUCCUGGAGCGUUUCAAGGAGACCGUGAGGAGCUUUGGACUGGUUGUGAGCUGGGCUCCUCAGGUGGACAUCCUCCGCCACCCUUCCACGGCUGGAUUUCUCAGUCACUGCGGCUGGAACUCCAUCCUCGAGAGCGUAGCAUCCGCGGUGCCCAUGCUUUGCUGGCCGUGCGUCGCGGAGCAGAAUCUAAACUGCAAGCUAAUAGUGGAGGACUGGAAGAUCGGUCUCAAGUUCUCGCGCGUGGCCAUGCCGGAUCCUCACGAGGUGGGGGUAGCGAGGGACGAGUUUGUGGAGGUGGUGGUAGCGAGGGACGAGUUUGUGGAGGUGGUGGAGCGAUUCAUGGGUGCUGACAGUGAGCAUUUGAGGAUUAACAUCAAGAAGCUGAGCGAGGAGGCUCGUAGAGCAGUGUCUAGAGGUGGCUCCUCGUAUGAAAACCUGGAGAGAUUUGCUCAAGCAGUGAAAACUUCCUAAACUUUGAUCCAAAGUCAACUCUAUUCAAGAAUAUACUACCCUCGAUAUACUUCUUUCUCUCUCUCUCUCAAGAUUGGAUUGGAAAGACGAGAUAAGCACGCGCGUUGCGCGUAUAAUGGGUUCCAAGAUCACACCUCAUGUUGUCGCCGUUCCUCUCCCAGCUCAAGGCCACAUCUCUCCACUCUUGCAUCUCUGCCAAGCUCUCGCUUCUCAUGGAUCCAUCCUCAUCACUUUCGUCAACACGGAGGCCAAUCAAGACAGCAUCAAGGAAAUGCUGGGAGAUGGCGUCGAGGGCAUUCGCUUCGAGACCUUCCCCGGGCUGGAGGCGGCUUACCACGGCCUCGACUUGACCCAGCUCGAGAAUCGCCAGAUCUUCUACCGGGCUAUGGUCGACAUGGAAGCGCCAGUGGAGAGGCUGCUACGAGAGAAGAUCAUCGCCAAGGGCCCCCCUGUUUCGUGCAUCGUCUCCGAGUUGUUCCCCUGGAUGAGAGAUCUGGCGGCCAGAAUCGGAGUUCCAAGCGUUUACUUCUGGCCUACGAGUGCUGCUUGUGUUCUUCUGGAUUUUUCCAUUCCCUUGCUCUUGGAGAGAGGAGACAUACCCGUCGAAGGUAUGAUUAUCAACCAUGGUUCCUUACUUAUUUUCUUUUCCAUGGUUUCUUCCAGAUUUCUCUAUGGACAAAUCCAUCGAGUACGUGCGUGGCUUGUCACCAUUGCCUGUGUGGAGUCUUCCCCGGGUUUUUGCUUUCAGGGAUGAUCCAAGUUUCACUCGCAGGUACGAGAGGCUAAAAAACAUCCCCCAGAAUUCUUGGUUCCUGGCCAACACUUUCGAGGAGCUCGAAGGUGGCGCGCUUGAGGCCGUGAGAGAUUACAUCCCAAGGAUAAUACCCAUAGGUCCCGCGUUUCUAUCUUCACCAUCCAUGAAAAAUGCAAGCCUCUGGAAGGAAGACAACGAGUGCUUAGCAUGGCUCAACGAGCAAGAAGAAGGAUCCGUGCUCUACAUAGCUUUUGGUAGCAUCGCCACCCUGAGCUUGGAACAAGCUAAAGAGAUAGCAGCAGGGCUGGAAGAACUCCAGAGGCCAUUUCUAUGGGGGAUUCGUCCAAAGUCUGUGCCGGGUAUGGAGCCCGAGUUUCUGGAACCGUUCAAAGAGAGAGUAAGAAGUUUUGGGCGAGUUAUAACUUGGGCUCCCCAGCGAGAAGUUCUCCAGCAUGCUUCUAUUGGGGGAUUUUUCACUCACUGUGGAUGGAAUUCUGUGCUGGAAAGCAUGGCUGCUGGUGUGCCUAUGAUCUGCCACCCUUGCGUUGCGGAACAAAAUCUGAAUUGCAAGUUGGUGGUGGAAGAUUGGAAGAUUGGAUUGCGAUAUUCCAAUGUGGGAUCUGGGAAGCUUGUGGUGAGGGAUGAAUUUCAAAAGGUGGUGAAGAAAUUGAUGGAAGAUGACAAUGGUAUUGCGCAAUACAUGAGGAGUAAUGCAAAGAAGCUGAGUGAAGAAGCUAGAAAAGCAGUGUGUGUGGGGGGCUCUUCAUACCAAAAUCUGGAAAAUUUUAUCUUGUCACUAAAAUAAUAAUUUUAUUCCAAUAGUUUGCUUAAUUUAUGUAUGUAAGAAAGUCUUCAUUACUUCGGCAAAUCUCUCCAGGUUUUCAUACGAGGAGCCACCUCUAGACACAGCUCUAUGAGCCUCCUCGCUCAGCUUCUUCACGUUAAUCCUCAAAUGCUCACUGUCAGCUCCCAUGAAUCGCUCCACCACCUCCACAAACUCGUCCCUCGCCACCACCACGUCGCGAGGAUCCGACCUCGUCAUGUUCGAGAACUUGAGACCGAUCUUCCAGUCCUCCACCACUAGCUUGCAGUUUAGAUUCUGCUCCGCGACGCACGGCCAGCAAAGCAUGGGCACCGCGGAUGCUACGCUCUCGAGGAUGGAGUUCCAGCCGCAGUGACUGAGAAAUCCAGCCGUGGAAGGGUGGCGGAGGAUGUCCACCUGAGGAGCCCAGCUCACAACCAGUCCAAAGCUCCUCACGGUCUCCUUGAAACACUCCAGGAACUCGGGCUCCAUGCCGGUGACCGACUUGGGUCGGAUGGCCCAGAUAAACGGACGCUGGAGAAGCCUCAGUCCCUCGGAGAACUCCUUGAACUGAUCGAAGCUGAGAGUCGCGAUGGUGCCCAAGGAAAUGUAGAGAACCGAGCCGGGACUUUGCUUGCCGAGCCAGGAUAAACUCUCGCUGUCUUCCUCCCACAGGGCACUGUUGCGUGGUUCGGAGCCGGGGAUCAUGGUGAAAACAGGACCCACUGCGAUUGUUCUGGGAGAGAUGUCUCGGAAAGCUUGGAAUGCGGCACUGCCCUCGAGUUCUUCGAACGAGUUUAUCAAAACCCACGAGGUUGUGGCGAAGAUCUUGGCUCUAGCGCACUUGCCAGCGAAUCCCGGGUCGUCGUCAUUGGCAGAAAAGUCGCCCGGGAGGCUCCACAUUGGUAGUGGUGACAAGCCGUCUACGUAAGUUAUGCACUUCUCAAUGGAACGAUCUGGCGGAAGACGUUAGAGCUUCUCGAAAGAAGGAAAGGGAAAAAAAGAAAGAUACCUUGGACUGGAAUGUCUCCCUUCUCCAACAUUUGCGGAACCGCGCACUCGAGCAAAACGCAAGAGGCACUGGCAGUCCAGAACUUGACCUCUGGGAUUCCAAUCCUUCUUGUUACUUCCGCGGACCACGGGAAGAACAUAUCCGAGAUGAAGCACGAGACCGGAGGAACGAGAUCAUCGUCUCUGGCCAUGUUCCUGAUGAGCAAGCUCUCCACUGGAGCCUGCAUCUCCAUCACUGCCUCGGAGAACAUCCGCCGCUUCUCCGGGACCGCCAAGUCGACGUCGCUUGCUUGGAUGCCCGGGACCGUCUCGAAGCGAAUGCCGCCACCACAGCCAUAGCUCUCCUUCGAAACGAUGUUCUUCAAGUCCCGCUGGUUGCCCUCCGUGUUGAUGAAAGUUAUGCCUGUAGGAAUAAUGAUGAACACGACAAGCAGUCCGAAUCGUGAUCAGAUCUCUGGUGAUUUCUGAUUUGAUUGAAGUUGUAUAUAUAUACAGCCAUAAAUGAAUCAAUGCGUGUUGAAGUGAAAUUCCGUUGUUCUUGCUCCGCUUUUCUUUCUUGGUAUCGGAGUGCUGGUUUCUGAACUCUUUCUUCUCCUUUCUUUGUGCCUUGCAUCAUGAGCUGCAGCAAAGUUGGAUUGAUCUUGCUUCAGGGAGUCACUGCCUUUGAUGGGAGGAGAGGGUUCAACACUUGGUCCGAGAAAAUGAUGCGCGUGCUGCAGAUGGAAGAACUCUGGGAAAUCGUUUCACCACCAACAAUCGCUGCAGAUGCUCGUACGCGGCGAGCCCCUGCUGUGUUGGGAGCUUCAACUUCAGUGGAAGGAGAAGUCGUGGAUGAAGAGGCAAUUCGUGCCUCUGUUGCAGCAGCUCGACAACAGCUUGAUCCAGGGGAACAAGCUGCGCUGGAGAAGAAGGAAUCUCGAGCAAAAGGAUUGAUUCUUUCUAAGCUUGCAGAUGCCCUUAUGAUGCGUUUGCGUCAUAAGUGUGCUUGUGAGAUCUGGGCUCAUCUCCACAACAAGUAUGCUGUUCUUUCCCUCUCCAAGAUUAGCAUGGUCGAGACUUGCAUUCGUGAGACCCGUUUUCAUCCAGGUGAGAACUUUGAAGAGUUCCUCGCCAAGAUGCAAGAUCUGUGGAUGGAGCUUGAAGGCAGUCCAGCAGCGUUCAACGAAAGCAAGAAAGUUCUGGCACUUUGCGAGGCCAUGCAAGAUUCUUCUUUUAGUUCUUUCGUCCCUACCGUUCGCAUGAUGUCGCUCAACUUUGAACAAGCUGAGCAAACUUUACGCUCGGAGCUGGCUGCGAGAGGUUUAAUUGUGGACUUUGAUCAGAGGCCUUCCCAUGUUUUGAUCUCACAGUCUACAUCAAAUGCUUCUGCAUCAAGCAAUCAGUCAGGGACUGAUUCAGCUCUGUGGGCUGGAAAUCAUCGAGGCAGAGGAGGCCGCGGAAGAGGAGGACAAGGCAGAGGUCGCGGGUUUAGGGGAAAUCCGCAGCAGCAGCAGAAUUCAGGGAAUUCUGGUAAAGAAGCAGCAGUUCGGGAUUGUUUUGUGGGCAAGAACAAACAGGAAUGCUGGACCUGUGGGAUGCCAGGGCACUACUCCAAGGAUUGCCCAGUUGCAGCUUGGCUGCAGCGCAUGAACAUAGGGCUCGCAGCAAAUGCUCAGGAAGGGGAAACACAGGAACUUGUGGCAUCAUCUGAGGUAGCAGUUCCAAACGUUUCUGAAAAACUGACCAUCGAUUCAGGUUCAGAGAGACACCUGAUGCAAAGCGAGUCGAACUUUGUGCAGUUGCAUGCUGCAAAAGGGAAGUGCAUUCGUGUGGGAGAUGGAAGCAUUUUACCUGUUCGCGCAACUGGGGAUGUGCGAGUUCCACUGGGAAGAAAGUCUCUGCUCUUGAAGAAUGCGUGGUAUGUUCCAAAGAUAGUGAAGAAUCUGGUUUCUGUAGCCAGGCUUACGGAUGAAGGUCUGGAUGUGAAUUUCUCCAAACAUCAAUGUCAAGUUCUUGCAAAUGGCCGUCCAUUACUGCAUUUUCCCAGAUGUGGUAACCUGUUUGAGAAGGAGAUAGCUUCUGGAGAAAAAUCGAAUGCUCCUGAGAUAUGCAUGACUGCAGAUAGUUCUCUCUGGCAUUCUCGACUUGCACAUGCCAAUCCCCCUCUCAUCAGGCGUAUGCAGAAGCAAGAGCUUGUGGAUGGCUUCAACGACCACGUUCUUCAAAGUUCAGCAAAAUGUCACACUUGCAUUCUUGGCAAGCAAACCCGUCGUACUUUCAAACCUGCUGUGACCAGAAGCACUUGUCCCUUGCAGCUCAUUCACUCAGAUGUUUGUGGACCCAUGCGACUGUUUGCUCAGAAUGGCACGAAGUAUUUUGUGACAUUUACAGAUGAUUUCUCCAGGCACACGGACGUCUUCUUUCUUCGUCACAAAGAUGAAGUCUUUAGCAAAUUCAAGCAAUUCGUAGUAGAAGCCGAAGUGAAAACUGGUCAGAGGGUUGGUUGUUUACGUACUGAUUCAGGAGGGGAAUACGUCAACAAGUCCUUUCAGCAGUUCUGUGCUGAACGAGGAAUUCUUCAUCAGCGCUCUUGCUCUCAUACCCCUCAACAGAAUGGAGUCUCUGAGCGCAAGAAUAGGACAAUCAUGAACGCAGUUCGGUGCUUCCUUCAAGAAUCAGGACUACCAAAAUUCCUCUGGGCUGAAGCAGUUGGAUCAGCUGUGCAUGUUCAAAACCUUCUCCCUCAUUCUCGCAAUCCCAACAAGAUCCCAGAAGAGCUUUGGACUGGUCAAAGACAAUCGGUGGUGCAUCUUAGGCGUUUUGGUUGUUUAAGCUUUGCAAAAAGGGUGGAUGAGCAUCUUGGCAAGUUGGAGAGCAGAAGCAAGCUGGCCUUUCUUGUUGGAUACGAUUCCAAUUCAAAAGGAUAUCGCCUGUACCAGCCUGGUAAUCAUCAAAUCUUUGUAAGCACUGAUGUUCGUUUUGAUGAAGGAACACUCUACAAAGAUCAUGUUCAAGAAGAAGGAAGCUCAGAUCAGAACAUGAACUGGACUCCGGAAGAAUGGAGUUGGGAUGGUGUUGAAGACGGUGAUGAAGAUGACGAUGAUCUGACAAUCAUCUAUCCCUCAUCUCCUUUAGCAGAUGAUCAUCCAACACCAAUCUCUGGAUCUUUUCUUCCUGAAGAACAGGGCGAUACUACUCAUCGUGCACGAACUGGAGAAGUCGACAGGCUCACACGAGAUCUACCAUUCAAUGUGGAGAACUAUGGGCGGACAUCAUCUAGACGAUCAAGCAGAGCACCUCAUCCCAAGCAAUGGUCUUUUGCAGCAACAGAAAUAGCUUCUGAACCAGUCAACUUUGAGCAGGUGAUUCAAGCUCCUGAUGCAGAUAAGUGGAUUUCAGCAAUGCAAGAUGAGUUGAAUUCUCUUGAUGAGAACCAGACUUAUGACUUGGUGGAAGCUCCUGAAGGACGUGAAGUUGUUGGAUCACGCUGGGUGUUCAAGCUUCACAGAAAUCCUGAUGGAUCAGUACAGCGUUACAAAGCAAGACUUGUUGCUCAAGGAUAUUCACAAGUUCCUGGAGUGGAUUUUGAUGAGACGUUCUCACCAAUUGUGAAGCAGACAAGUAUCAGAAUGCUUCUGGCUUUUACAGCGGAGUUUGGUUUGUGCGCACAUCACAUGGACGUAAAAACAGCCUUCCUUAAUGGGAACUUGAAGGAGGAGAUAUUUAUGCGGCAACCCCCAGGCUUUGAGCUUUUUGGAUCACGGUGCUCCGAACUCGUCUGCAAGCUUCGCAAGGCUCUUUAUGGCCUUAAGCAAGCUUCCCGUCAGUGGUAUGAAUGUUUGGAUUCUUUUCUUAUGGAUCUCGGUAUGCAGAGGUUGAACAGCGAUGGAAAUCUAUAUCUUCUUAGCAACAAUCACACUGUUUUGAAGGAUGUGAAGAUCAAGCUUAUGAACAGGUUUGUGAUGAAGGACUUAGGAGCUGUGCGGCAGCUGUUAGGGAUGGAAGUUGACAGGGAUGAAGCAGACAGGACAAUCACCCUCACACAGUGCCAAUAUGUGAAGAAGCUUCUCAACCAGUUCAACAUGACAAGUUGCAAAUCCGUGGCUACACCAGUCGUCACUGGCAUCAAGUUCACAAGCAAGAUGGAUGAUUUAUUUGAUCAGCCCUCGGUCUAUCGAUCGCUUGUUGGAGGACUACUCUACCUCGCCAACAUGACUCGCCCUGACAUCUCCUUUGCCGUUGGUCUCCUCAGCCGAUACAUGCAGUCUCCGAGUUGUUAUCAUUGGCAGAUGGCGAAGAGAGUUUUGAGAUAUUUGAAAGGAACAGCUGCUCAUGGAUUGGUUUACAAAUGCUCAGGUCAAUCCAAACUUGUUCUUCAAGCUUACUGCGAUGCAGAUUGGGCUGGCAACUUGGAUACACGACAUUCAACCUCCGGAAUUUGCUGCAUAAUUGCUGGUGCUCCGGUUUCAUGGGGAAGCAAGAAGCAAACGACGGUUGCUCUUUCCAGUGUAGAAGCAGAAUACGUAGCUGCCAGUACAGCAGCAAGGGAGAUCAUCUGGCUUCGUCGAUUACUUGGAGAACUCAAUCAACAGCAAUCAGAUGCGACCAUUCUGCAUUGCGACAGCAGAAGUGCAAUCGCCAUGUCAAAGAAUCCUGUGUUUCAUGCUCGUACGAAACAUAUAGACGUGCAGCAUCACUUCAUUCGCGAACAUGUAGCAGCCAGAGAUCUUCACCUGGAAUACGUUCCUUCACAGUAUCAGUUGGCGGACCUUCUAACCAAGCCACUUUCGGAGCUCACAUUCAUCAAGCUGAGGAAUCAACUUGGAGUGUCAAGCACACCCUCAGCUUGAAGGGGGAGUGUAGGAAUAAUGAUGAACACGACAAGCAGUCCGAAUCGUGAUCAGAUCUCUGGUGAUUUCUGAUUUGAUUGAAGUUGUAUAUAUAUACAGCCAUAAAUGAAUCAAUGCGUGUUGAAGUGAAAUUCCGUUGUUCUUGCUCCGCUUUUCUUUCUAUGCCGAAGCCUCGCGAGGCCAGAGCUCUUGAGAGGUGGAGGAGUGGGGAGAUGUGGCCUUGGGUUGGAAUGGGAAGAACCGCUGCGUGAGGAGCGAGCCUCCUGGCACCAGUCGAAGAGCCCAUUGACGGAGAAAAGGAAAAGCUAAACAGUUCUCAAGCUUUUACUUCUUGUGUGCUCUCACGACGAAGGCAAAACAGGCUGGAUCCAGUGCUCCACAUUGUGCUAUCGUCAACUUAUAAGCUACCACCCAAAAUGUUCAAAGAUUGAAAGUUCUUCACCUUUGCUACUCUUCCAUUGCUUGGUGCCUUGAGGACGAGGAUGGAAAUUCUGGCCUGGCAAAGUAAAGCCUGGAAUCCAUUUGCUUAGUGCUUGUGUGUACACGAUCAAAGAGAGAACUGAAUUGCUGCUGUCUUGUUUCCAUCAUCAUACCAAGAGAAAAAGUGCUAAACAGCGAAACAGCUGGCCAAGGAAAAACGACAGACAACCGAAUCGAACUACAGACCAUCUUUAUAUUAUAUAAUAUAAUGUUUAUUUAAAUUUUCUAAGUAAAAAAUAAUAACUGAUCUUUUUGAACAACUUAUCAAAGAAACAUUAUUUUAAUAAAGAAUGAAAUUUAUUUUGAAAUCUCAUGAGCAACAUAAAUGAAAAAAUAGGUAUUAUGAAUAGUUAUCCUGCAUGAUAAAAUAUUCAGACAAAAAUAAUUGUAUAAAUAAUAAAAUUAAAAAAGAAUAUAUUCAUAGACAAAGAACCUAGGUUGGAAUUUUUCUGGACCGCCAGUGCCUCUUGCGUUUUGCUCGAUUGCUCGUUUCCGCGAAUGCUGGAGAAGGGAGACGUUCCAGUCCAAGGUAAAGCUUCUUUCUUCUUUUUUAUUUGUCCUUCUUUCGAGAAGCACUAACGUGUUCCGCCAGAUCGUUCCAUUGAAAAGUACAUCACUUACGUAGACGGCUUGUCACCACUGCCAAUCUGGGGCCUCCCGCGCGACCUUUCUGCCAUUGACGAAUCAAGAUUCGCUCGCAGAUACGCUAGAGCCAAGAGCUUCGCCACAACAUCGUGGGUUUUGGUCAACUCGUUCGAAGAACUCGAGGGCAGUGCCACCUUCCAAGCCCUCCGAGACAUCUCUCCCAAAACAAUCGCAGUGGGUCCUCUUUUCACCAUGGCCCCCGGCUGCAACAAGGCAAGCUUGUGGAAGGAAGACACCGAGAGUUUAUCCUGGCUCGGCAAGCAAAGUCCCGGCUCGGUUCUCUACAUUUCCUUGGGCAGCAUCGCCACUCUCAGCUUCGAUCAGUUCAAGGAGUUCUCCGAGGGACUGAGGCUUCUCCAGCGUCCGUUUAUCUGGGCCAUCCGACCCAAGUCGGUCGCCGGCAUGG
RNAcentral lists this long non-coding RNA (9801 nucleotides) under Selaginella moellendorffii. RNAcentral's name for it is "long non-coding RNA (SMOE_LNC000745)". Lineage: Eukaryota; Viridiplantae; Streptophyta; Lycopodiopsida; Selaginellales; Selaginellaceae. The record is from RNAcentral.